AGAUUCCUGGGAGACUCAAAACCCUGUUCAACUCUCUCUGGGCUAGGUGCUCCCCUCCCCAAGAGGAUUUCUCUCCAGAGCUGGUAUCAUCGCUUAAUGAUGUUCCACCAAUAAGGGGAAGGUUUCUCAUCUGGGAGCUGCUAUCACUGAAUACAUAAAGAAAUUGAGCCUGUAUGAUUUCAAUCUUCACCUUCUGAUGCUGAUGAAACAGGAUUCUAUGCAGUUUGCAGGGGGCCUGGAGGAGUGAAUCAGUGGCAGUGAGUGACAGAGUGGUCUCAGCAGGAAGAGGUGGAGGCAACGCUGGGAUUUGGAAAUGCCUCUAGAAAAUCCUCUCCAGUGAAGUAAUUGCAUCCAUUUCAUCUUCCCAGCCCUCCUCUAGAUGGGAGGUGGAGGUGUGUGUACCAAUGUCUUAAUUCAGAAAUGAGACAAAAGGAGGAAAAAGGAGUUCAGGAGGACAGUGAGGACUCCAGACAGAGCCUGGGGACUUGGCUGCCUUGGAACCAGAACCUGGCCCUUCAGAGGAGUUGCAGAAUUUCGAUAGAGGAGUUGGGGGAGGUGUACUGGCUGAAGAGGAGGCCAAGGAACUCCUUUUCAUUCAUCAAAACUCAGCUUAUCACCUCUACCAUGAAGUCAUCCUGGACAUCACUCGUCCCAGUUAAUCACUCAAUCAUCUUUGCCAUCCUUGACCUGGGAUGAGAACAUUGCCCUCAUUGGUCUGGAAUCAGCAGGUACCUCAUGGCUGGAGGUGUAUUUUCAGAUGGAGUCUCACUCUGUCGCUCAGGCUGGAGUGUAGUGGUGCAAUCUCAGCUUAUUGCAACCUCUGCCUCCUGGGUUCGAGCGAUUCUCCUGCCUCAGCUUCCCCAGUAGCAGGGACUACGGGACUACAGACUCCUUUGGCAUCUGGUGAGGCCUGUGGAUUCAUUCUCAGAAUCACAUUUUUAAAUGCACAUAAUAAAAUACAUAGAGUUGCAAAGGAAGUUAAUUAUAUUGAAAUACAGUUAUCAAAAAUAUGAAUAAAACAAGUAUGUGGUACAGUCA
Long non-coding RNA from Pongo pygmaeus (Bornean orangutan), 1038 nucleotides. RefSeq lists it as uncharacterized. The record is from RefSeq and is a predicted model, not a curated record. The transcript is spliced from 9 exons. NCBI's taxonomy places the organism in Eukaryota, Metazoa, Chordata, Mammalia, Primates, Hominidae.